This 252-nucleotide ribosomal RNA is filed under the name uncultured bacterium. RNAcentral's name for it is "partial 16S ribosomal RNA". It matches the Rfam family "Bacterial small subunit ribosomal RNA", at positions 524 to 776 of the family's 1533-position model. The record is from RNAcentral.
UACGGAGGAUGCGAGCAUUAUCCGGAUUUAUUGGGUUUAAAGGGUGCGUAGGCGGAUCGUUAAGUCAGUGGUCAAAUUGAGGGGCUCAACCCCUUCCCGCCAUUGAAACUGGCGAUCUUGAGUGGAAGAGAAGUAUGCGGAAUGCGUGGUGUAGCGGUGAAAUGCAUAGAUAUCACGCAGAACCCCGAUUGCGAAGGCAGCAUGCCGGCUUCCUACUGACGCUGAAGCACGAAAGCGUGGGGAUCGAACAGG